Molecule: ribosomal RNA, 253 nt
Filed under: uncultured bacterium
Lineage: Bacteria
Description: partial 16S ribosomal RNA
Rfam family: Bacterial small subunit ribosomal RNA
Source: RNAcentral
CACGGGGGGAGCAAGCGUUGUUCGGAAUCACUGGGCGUAAAGGGUGCGUAGGCGGCCAUGUAAGUGAGAUGUGAAAUCCCUCGGCUCAACCGAGGAACUGCGCUUCAUACUGCAUGGCUUGAGGGAGACAGGGGUAAGCGGAACUGAUGGUGGAGCGGUGAAAUGCGUUGAUAUCAUCAGGAACACCGGUGGCGAAAGCGGCUUACUGGGUCUCUUCUGACGCUGAGGUACGAAAGCUAGGGUAGCGAACGGG